Molecule: ribosomal RNA, 250 nt
Filed under: uncultured prokaryote
Description: partial 16S rRNA
Rfam family: Bacterial small subunit ribosomal RNA
Source: RNAcentral
ACGUAGGGGGCAAGCGUUAUCCGGAAUUACUGGGCGUAAAGAGUGCGUAGGUGGUUUUUUAAGCGUGAGGUGAAAGCCAAUAGCUUAACUAUUGUAAGCCUUGCGAACUGGAAGACUUGAGUACAGGAGAGGAAAGUGGAAUUCCUAGUGUAGCGGUGAAAUGCGUAGAUAUGAGAAGGAACACCAAUGGCGAAGGCAGCUUACUGGAUUAUAACUGACACUGAGGCACGAAAGCGUGGGGAGCAAACAG